This 428-nucleotide ribosomal RNA is filed under the name uncultured bacterium. Its description in RNAcentral is "bacterial SSU rRNA". It matches the Rfam family "Bacterial small subunit ribosomal RNA", at positions 355 to 775 of the family's 1533-position model. The record is from RNAcentral.
UAGGGAAUCUUCCGCAAUGGACGGAAGUCUGACGGAGCAACGCCGCGUGAGUGAAGAAGGUUUUCGGAUCGUAAAACUCUGUUGUCAGAGAAGAACAAGUCGGAGAGUAACUGCUCCGGCCUUGACGGUAUCUGACCAGAAAGCCACGGCUAACUACGUGCCAGCAGCCGCGGUAAUACGUAGGUGGCAAGCGUUGUCCGGAUUUAUUGGGCGUAAAGCGAGCGCAGGCGGUUCCUUAAGUCUGAUGUGAAAGCCCAUGGCUCAACCGUGGAAGGUCAUUGGAAACUGGGGAACUUGAGUGCAGAAGAGGAGAGUGGAAUUCCAUGUGUAGCGGUGAAAUGCGUAGAUAUAUGGAGGAACACCAGUGGCGAAGGCGACUCUCUGGUCUGUAACUGACGCUGAGGCUCGAAAGCGUGGGGAGCAUACAG